GGACAUGGGGACAGGGUGUGGGGCACAAGAACACUGUGGGGACACAAGGACAGGCUGUGGGGCACAAGAACACUGUGGGGACAUGUGGGGCACAGCCCUGGCUGCACGCCAUCCCUGGCAGUGCCACCUGCCCUGGUGGCACCAUGGCUGGGGUCACACAGCACGCCCCAUGGGACCUUCACUCCCGGCCCUACAGCACUUGUAGGGCACAGAGAACAUUCCAUGGGGACGUUUAUAGGUUCAUUCCCGGCCCUACAGCACUUGUAGGGCACAGAGAACAUUCCAGACCAUUCCAUGGGGACACCGAUAGGUUUAUCCCAGCCCUACAGGCACUUGUAGGGCACAGAGGAUGUUCCAGACCAUUCCAUGGGGACAUUUACAGGUUUAUCCCAGCCCUACAGGUAUUUGUAGGGCGCAGAGAACAUUCCAGACCAUUCCAUGGUUUAUCCCAGCCCUUACAGGUAUUUGUAGGGCACAGAGCAUUCCAUGGGUACAUUUAUAUGUUUAUUCCCAGCCCUACAGGCACUUGUAGGGCACAGAGAACAUUCCAGACCAUUCCAUGGGUACAUUUAUAUGUUUAUUCCCAGCCCUACAGGCACUUGUAGGG
RNAcentral lists this long non-coding RNA (607 nucleotides) under Parus major (Great Tit). RNAcentral's name for it is "lncRNA (ENSPMJG00000003550.1)". The record is from RNAcentral. Lineage: Eukaryota; Metazoa; Chordata; Aves; Passeriformes; Paridae.